ACAAUAGAACCGAUAAAGGUCACCUCCACAGAACUCGAUCAGAUCGUCAACAUGAGGAUCCCUCUUUUUUUCAUCACGUUAUGUAUAGCAUUACAAGGUGUGUUGAGUUGUCCGGAGGGUUUCGAGAGACAUAGAUACCGUUGUUACAAGGUGUUCGCGGACCAUGUCACGUGGAUCGACGCCAAGGAAUACUGUAAGAUAUACGGUGCCGACCUGUUGGAGGUAGAAUCGGCAGCGGAGGAAUCUACUAUAGAAGGCAUGCUGAGGAGGCUCCAUGGUAGUGUUGGGAAGGAGGUUUACUGGACAGAUGGAGUGGAUCUCCUCACUGAGGGGAAUGGCGCUGGGCCGGGCAGGCCGGGGAGUCACGCUUAAUACAGGGAUACACACAUUGGGCUGAUGACCAACCUGACAACGCUGACGGGGGAGAAGGCUGUUUGGAGAUCAGAGCAGAAUUUGGGUUUGAAUGGAACGAUGAUCAGUGUUGGGAAAAAAAGGCCUUCAUCUGCGAAUCCCAAUACGAAACCGGACAGAUUUCAGUCAUCGGUUAGGAGAAGAGUGAUGAUCAAGGGAGACAAUCCACAACUGAGACUGUCCUUGUUUAACUCGAUACAAACCUAAAGUGAAAACCACAUUUCAGCCAAUAAAUAUAGACACGAC
This is an RNA transcript of Pecten maximus, 657 nucleotides long. It is a transcript of the gene named perlucin-like, with no coding region annotated. Lineage: Eukaryota; Metazoa; Mollusca; Bivalvia; Pectinida; Pectinidae. The record is from RefSeq and is a predicted model, not a curated record. The transcript is spliced from 6 exons.